GUGGGAGGGUGACGACCUCUACCCACCAACCCCACCAGCCUCUCACCAUUGAGCCAGCGGGAGUCGUGUGGCUCUGUUCGGAGACUUGGACGUUGCCCUAGGCUGCGAAAGAUGAGGGAGAAGUGCUACCCAGGAGACCCAAGACCUGGGCAGAAGCCUCAGCCUCUGACUUGGGGACUGCUCCCAACCCAGCUGAAGCAGCCUCUGCAUUUGAGCUUGAGGGCUCUCUCUCCACACCCCUGAGGAAUCAAAGAGGGGCAAGGUUCUAGAGGUCUUCCAGGCCAACACUGGCUGCCUUCUCACACUCCACCGAGGACUUCCGCAGCAGCAUCUCUCCACUCUGGCCCCUUCCCACCCUGGGGCCGCUGGGGACCCUCUGACGGCUCCUUUAAGAAGCAGCCCCCGCCCCCACCAGGCCAGCCACCGCCCCACGCACCGCCCGCCGUGCCGUAAAGUUUAGAGGGCGGAUCGGGUGACCGGGCAGGCAGCCGGGACCAGCUGGAGACGGCAGCCAGGCGGGAGUGGAAUGGGCACAAGGGAGGGGCUGGUUGGAGGUGGGAGGAACAACCCCCACCAAACCCAGAGCCGAAAACUGAGGGAGUUUUACAGACAGGACGGAGCUCCUGCACCUCGGAGCCUCAGUUGGGAAUGACCUGGGGUCUUGUCCUGAAGCUGAGUCUGGUGAACGUGCCCCAUUUGUAACAUGAGGGGUACUUCUCUGGAGGGACUGUAUGUUGACAGUGGCAGAGUGGAGCCCUGAAGUCCACCUGAGUGAAUAUACCAGGGCUUGAGAAUGGGCUUUGAUCCUUCCAUCCCCGCAAAAGGCAUUUUCCUACCACCUCCCAAGGCUGAUGGGGCAGUGUGGGCAUUUCAAGUGUUGCAGUUCUGUUGCCCAGCCCUGGAUGCCUCCAGCCAAGCAAGGACAGAGGUGGGGGGCACAUCUCCAAGUCCCCUGGAAGUGGAAGUGGGGCUAUGCCCCUCCUUCCUGAGCCUGAGGACCUGGUAUACCUGGCCUGGCCUGGCCAGCUGGCAGGUAAAUAACAGGGGCCAGUGGGAGCCGCAGGGCCCUUCAGGAGGGCAAGUGGAAGGACAGAUCCCUGCCUGGGCUCGUGGGCUUCCUGGAUGUGGCCUUUUCCUACUCCAGGAGUAGCUGCCUCUAGCCUUAGAGGACCUGGGCAGGCUCUCCUGGCUCCAUGCAAGCAGACAACAUUCUUUGGCUGUUUACAGCUUUCCACCCAAGCAGCCAGGAUCAGCAAGUGCCUCAGAGGCUCCCAUCCACUCCCACUGUGCCCCCAUAGGCCCUCACUGCCUUAUGUUUUUCCAGGCCCAGGGGCCCUGUCUCUGUUUCAUCACCCCGCACCUUCCUCCACCUGUGUUCACUCUGGGAAACGGUAUCAGAAACCCCCCCGCCACCGCCAUUAUCUUUCCAAUAGCCUGGGAGUCAACCCCCAGCCAAAAGGACUAGACUGUCUCUGUCCCCAUUGAGUGCUGUGCCCUGUCCUCUGUCCUCUAGAUGUGUACCCUCCCUUGAGUAGGAAUGGAGGUCUCCAGGGAUGGGAGGUCAAGUUGUCCCUGAUUCCACAUGGUCCCCUUUCUGUUCCUCAGCCCCAGGUCCAGUGUGCCAGGCCAUGGGUAGGGGCCCCCAUGGAGGUCAGCACUCCAGGAGCAAGGUCACUGCCUGUGGGUCACACUGGGGGCUGGAACUCCUCGAGGAUUCUGGAAUCAGGCAGCCUGAGCCUGAGUCUCAACAGAAUGGGGCAAACCAGGCAAGGCAGCUGGGGUCCCUUUUCCUGCCUGUACUCCUACCCUGGACCUCUCUCUUUUGAGGGAGCUUCCAUGGGCAGAGACCUGCCUGGGUCCUUGCUCUGGGGCUGCCUGUCAGUGGCAUGGCCUACCACGGCCUUGGCUUUUCCUUCUGGAAAAACCUGGAUUGUUGUGCCAAAUCUCAGCACCUGCCUCCCCACCCCUGGCCACCAGCUGGGCCUGCCCCUUUGCCCCUGCCUGGACUCCGGGUGGUGUGGUUGGGGUGGGACACCCAUCUGAGGAAGGUUGUGGCAACCCUCCCAGUGCAGCCUGGACUGGAUGGGAUCUUGGGCGCCCCACUCACACCUGCUUUAGUCAUCAGGGCUUGUGGCUCCAACGUCACAACUCUUCCUUGUUCUGGCCACGUAGGUACCAGGUCAUGCUGCCCAGAGGACUUAGGCACAGUGGGGGCAGGCGUGGGCGGCCAUAGGAUCAUCACCUGAGGCCUAACUUCCCAGACACUCUAAGGCCCUGCCCCAGGGGCAUCUCCUGGGGAAGCGUCUGCAGGCAUGUCCUCACCCCAGCCUGGUCUCCACAUUCCCAGGGAACCCUGGCCCACCUUUUUUGAAAGAUUAGCUCCUCCCCUCCUUGCCUGUUCCCCUUCCCUUCUGAGGGCCCUGUCAGAACUGAGAUGGAGGUGCUGAGGGAGGGGCUACCAAGAACCCUGGGCCUUUGGCUGUGGCCCUACCCCCGCCUGCCCCACCCCUGCCCUCCCCUCCUGCACAUUCCUCCCAGGCUGAGGUCAGCCCUUCUGGGAUGCGGGAGCCCCCCCAACCAGCCACAUCACAGCUCUUCCCUCACUCCUGUUUUCCUCAUUGCCCAGCAGGGAGGAGUGGGAGGAGAGGGGGCUGGGGGCGGGGCCUCCCUCUCCCUCCCUCCUCUGGAGCCCGGCAGGGUGGAGGGGGCUAUGCCAGGAAUGCUGGAAAGUGGACUCUGAGGGCACACUGCA
RNAcentral lists this long non-coding RNA (2752 nucleotides) under Homo sapiens (human). RNAcentral describes it as "non-protein coding SEMA3B-AS1:5". The record is from RNAcentral. Lineage: Eukaryota; Metazoa; Chordata; Mammalia; Primates; Hominidae.